AGUGAACGCUGGCGGUAGGCCUAACACAUGCAAGUCGAACGGCAGCACAGUAAGAGCUUGCUCUUACGGGUGGCGAGUGGCGGACGGGUGAGGAAUACAUCGGAAUCUACUUUUUCGUGGGGGAUAACGUAGGGAAACUUACGCUAAUACCGCAUACGACCUACGGGUGAAAGCAGGGGAUCUUCGGACCUUGCGCGAUUGAAUGAGCCGAUGUCGGAUUAGCUAGUUGGCGGGGUAAAGGCCCACCAAGGCGACGAUCCGUAGCUGGUCUGAGAGGAUGAUCAGCCACACUGGAACUAAGACACGGUCCGACUCCUACGGGAGGCAGCAGUGGGGAAUAUUGGACAAUGGGCGCAAGCCUGAUCCAGCCAUACCGCGUGGGUGAAGAAGGCCUUCGGGUUGUAAAGCCCUUUUGUUGGGAAAGAAAAGCAGCAGGUUAAUACCCCGCUGUUCUGACGGUACCCAAAGAAUAAGCACCGGCUAACUUCGUG
RNAcentral lists this ribosomal RNA (491 nucleotides) under uncultured bacterium. RNAcentral's name for it is "partial 16S ribosomal RNA". It matches the Rfam family "Bacterial small subunit ribosomal RNA", at positions 29 to 507 of the family's 1533-position model. The record is from RNAcentral.